CAGAGGACCCAAAGUGGGUUCUGUGCUGACAGGCUGACAGCAGCAGGUCCAAUGUGGGGCUCUAACUCACGAACCACAAGAUCAUAGCUUGAGCCAAAGUCGGACGCUCAACCAAUUUAGCCAGGUGCCCCUACAAUUACCCUAUAUGUUUAAUAGUAAAACUAACUUGCAUUAAACAUUGCCUGAUUAUUUAUAUGUCUGUUGCAGGAAUAAUGCUUGGCCAUAUAAGGUCUCUCUUCUUUUUAAAAAGUAAUCUCUACAUCCAACAUGGGGCUCAAAUUCAUGACCCAGGGAUCAAGAAUCAUAUGCUCCGUGGACUGAGCCAGGAGGCGUCUUGUAUCUAAGCCUUUACUUCAUGCACACUGACAGAAACCAACAGUAGCCCAGGAAAUGGAACCGUGGACACCACCAGUAGCCAAAGAACUGGGGAUGGGAAAGGAUUGAACCAGCAGACAUCAGAGAAUGGAGACUGUUGGGCUGAUCCAAGUGAAUGGAGGACUAUAGCUGCUAUCUGCAGCUCCCAGUGUGGAAUCUGAGGACAGAGCCUCGGUCUGUGGUUUAGAAGUUCCUGCAGAUUGGCCAGUAGAAGGCCUGUGUAUGCCACCAGCAAUUUCCAGAAUAUACUAAGCCAGCAGACUCCAGUAAACAGGGACUGUGGACUGGAAUGGGGGAAAGGGAUUCCACACAAGUGGGGAACUACAGACUGAACCAAGGGCUAACGACUGGUGCUCUGUUAGAUUCUCCUGUUAAUCUAGACUGGCCUGUUAACCCUGGCCUGGAAGGUCCGUUAGAUUGGGAGCUCAACACAAAAAGAGUAGUGCUCAAACCAAGAGGAGCUUACCAAGGGCCCUAGGAAAUGGUGAGAAACACAGUGAACUCAAAAGGGUUCGCUUUGGAUCCCACUCUUGCCACCAAAUCUGUUAAAAAACAAAAUGUAACCAAGUAAAUUGGCAUUAUUAAAUAAUUCAUUAAUAUGGCAACAACUCAUCUAGCAGGUAGAGGGGAGCUCCCAGGAGCUGUGCAAAAUGGAAGAUUUUUUUUUUAAUUAAAAAAAUUUUUGUUUAUGUUUAUUUAUUUUUGAGUGAGAGAGAGACAGAGGAUAAGUAGGGAAGGGGCAGACAAAGAGGGAGACACAGAAUCCCAAGCAGCCUCCAGGCUCUGAGCUGUCAGCACAGAGCCUGACGCAGGGCUUAAACUCACAAACAGCGAGAUCAUGACCUGAGCCAAAGUCGGACGCUUAACCCACUGAGCCACCCAAGCGCCCCCCAUUUUUUUUUUAAUUAAAUUAAAUUAAAUUAAAUUUUUUUUGGUUUUUUUUCAAAAUGAAAGGUUUUUAAAGAUUGGGGCGGGGAGAGGGGGAAACAGGAAUUUGUUAGCAAAAAAUGCAUUGUUUUAGACAAGGUUGCCCUCCUAAAGGGGAUGGGAGGGGUCUAUUAAGGGAUUACCUCCUAGUAUUGAUCAGGAAAUUCCAGUUGGACUGGUUAAAGGGUAUAUUCCUGGGGCAUUGAAACUGUUGUUGGGUUAGGUGUUAAGUCUUGGUUGACUGAAACAAGGCCUUAACAUUAGUGACACCAUUUGGGGCCUAUGGUCUUCUUUAACAGAGUCCUGUGGCAUUUCAUGGAAUCACUCUUCAUUCAGUCUUGAAGUGCGAUGUUGAGGUCCCAAAAAGACCUGUAUGCCCAUGAGGCAUUGCCAGGGUACCAACAGAAUGCAGGAAGAAACCAUAGCCAUCAAAGAGGGCUAUGCCUCUGGCCCUAAAAUCUAAAAUCCCCUGCAAGCCGGCUUCCUUGCAGUCUGCUCUUUCCACCUUCCGGCAGAUUGCAGGCCAUCGAGAGCAGCAGGAGGGUGAAUCAGACCCACCCAUCAUCCUUUGCAAAUGCCUCUGAAUGAUAUAACUGCACAGUGUUUAUUUUACGAGGUCGUUCCCAAGUGUAACUUUGUUCUGGCCAAAGGUGCGCAUUUAUGCCAGCCUGACCCUGAUAGAGAAAUAUCAGCCCUGGAUUGUAAAGUAAGUAAAUAAAACAAACACAGAAACAAGCUCGUAAAAUGUUAAGUCAGGUCUUGUCACUCUCCGGCUCAGAACCGCCCACCUCCACCCUGUGGACUCCCCAUAGCGCUAAGCAUAAAACCCAAAGUCCUCGCCAUGGGAAGGCCCCACAGGAAACUCUUGAUCUCAUGACUUCCACACACCCCCUCCCUCCCCGCCAGCCUCAACACGCCCACCCCUGGCUGAGGCCCUGCCUCAGGGUCAUUGUGCUUGCUCUUCUCUGCAAAGAUCACACAAUGUCGCCUUACCCACUUCUCUGAUCAGCUCGUCUAAACUAGCUGCCUCCCUGCUGCUAGCGUCGCUCCGCGUUUCCUUACCCUGCUUCGUUUCAUUCACAGUAUUCAUGUAUAUUCUCUUCUCCCCAUUAGGAGACAUGCUCCAGAAGGCCAGAGACUACCCUGUCCUGUGUCCCCGGCAUCUGGAAUAGGGGCCAGGGCACAGUAGAUUUACUUUCUGGAUUCAUGGGUCCCAUGACCAGUCCUGUGUCCCUCCUGCUUCUGCCCUUUCUCCAAACCUGGGGCUCCCGUCUGCCUAGAUUGCCUGGUCUGACCUGCUAGGCACCCACUAAGUACUCGCUGUUAAUGAUGGUAAUGACCUCAGUCUGGCCAAGAGGAUCCUUGAUGUGAAAGAAGGAAAAGGGCUUUGGGGGUCGAGAAAACUUGGAUUCUAACGCUAGCCAGCUCUGCUUGCUGCCUGGGCCUCAGUUUAUUCAUCUUGAAGGCGGAUGGGGUGGGGGUAAAAUGCCUGCCUGGUAGUCUGUUGUAAGGAUCAAAGAUCCAAUGACUGUGAGGGCCCAGCAGCUCACCAACCAGCUGCUCUGGGAAUAGGCUUCUCCUGCCUGCCGGUGGCAAACGAUGACUGUUUCCAUGGUGGAAAGGAAGGUGUGAGCCUCCCGAAAAGGAUCUUACCCAAGGGGUUUCCUCCAAGACAGGACAACUACAGCAGAGCAGGGAAUGGGGGGUGCAGAAACCGAGGGGGGUGGUCAGGAGAGAUCCACUAGGGAGUACCACCCUCUGCCUGGGAAUGCUGGGGGAGGUCCCUGGGGGGGGCCUUCCCUUGGGAGCCCGCGAAGGGCCCCAUGGGAACAGAAUCAGCAUUUGGGUACCUCCCAUGCCCAGAGGCACCAAUGCCUGAUUACAACCACACCAGCGAUGGCAUUUUCAACCUCUGUCUCUUCCUCUGAGCUAUCAGGGAGGAGAAGCUUGAGACUGAA
This is a long non-coding RNA of Acinonyx jubatus (cheetah), 3260 nucleotides long. RefSeq lists it as uncharacterized. The record is from RefSeq and is a predicted model, not a curated record. The transcript has 3 exons. Lineage: Eukaryota; Metazoa; Chordata; Mammalia; Carnivora; Felidae.